This 79-nucleotide transfer RNA is filed under the name Dipodomys ordii (Ord's kangaroo rat). It matches the Rfam family "tRNA". Rfam says of the family: Transfer RNA (tRNA) molecules are approximately 80 nucleotides in length. Lineage: Eukaryota; Metazoa; Chordata; Mammalia; Rodentia; Heteromyidae. The record is from Rfam by way of RNAcentral.
GGGAAGGUGGCUCAGUGGUAGAGCGCUUGCCUUGCAUGCAUGAGGCCCUGAAGAGCUGAGGGAUGGUGCUCAGGCCCCA